GCAAGUCGAACGGCAGCAUGACAUAGCUUGCUCUGUUGAUGGCGAGUGGCGGACGGGUGAGUAACACGUAGGAAUCUAUCCAGUAGCGGGGGAUAACGUGGGGAAACUCACGCUAAUACCGAAUACGCACUACGGUGGAAAGAGGGGGAUCUUCGGACCUCUCACUAUCGGGUGAGCCUAAGCCGGAUUAGUUAGUUGGUGGGGUAAUGGCCCACCAAGACGACGAUCCGUAGCUGGUCUGAGAGGACGAUC
This 252-nucleotide ribosomal RNA is filed under the name uncultured bacterium. RNAcentral describes it as "partial 16S ribosomal RNA". It matches the Rfam family "Bacterial small subunit ribosomal RNA", at positions 57 to 305 of the family's 1533-position model. The record is from RNAcentral.